AGAGUUUGAUCCUGGCUCAGGAUUAACGCUGGCGGCGUGCAUAACACAUGCAAGUCGAACGAUGAAACUUUUUUGAUUUCUUCGGAAUGAAAAAAGUGGAUUAGUGGCGGACGGGUGAGUAACGCGUGAGUAACCUGCCUUAGAGAAGGGGAUAGCCUUUGGAAACGAAGAAUAAUACCCUAUGAAACCAUAACCUCGCAUGAGGCCUUGGUCAAAGAUUUAUCGCUCUAAGAUGGACUUGCGUCUGAUUAGUUAGUUGGUGGGGUAACGGCCCACCAAGACAGCGAUCAGUAGCCGGCUUGAGAGAGUGUACGGCCACAUUGGGACUGAGACACGGCCCAGACUCCUACGGGAGGCAGCAGUGGGGAAUUUUGCACAAUGGGGGAAACCCUGAUGCAGCGACGCCGCGUGAUUUAGAAGGCCUUCGGGUUGUAAAAAUCUUUUCUAUGGGAAGAAAAUGACAGUACCAUAGGAAUAAGGACCGGCUAAUUACGUG
This 496-nucleotide ribosomal RNA is filed under the name uncultured Anaerococcus sp. Its description in RNAcentral is "bacterial SSU rRNA". It matches the Rfam family "Bacterial small subunit ribosomal RNA", at positions 8 to 507 of the family's 1533-position model. The record is from RNAcentral. Lineage: Bacteria; Bacillati; Bacillota; Tissierellia; Tissierellales; Peptoniphilaceae.